This 468-nucleotide ribosomal RNA is filed under the name uncultured bacterium. RNAcentral's name for it is "partial 16S ribosomal RNA". It matches the Rfam family "Bacterial small subunit ribosomal RNA", at positions 28 to 507 of the family's 1533-position model. The record is from RNAcentral.
GACGAACGCUGGCGGCGUGCUUAACACAUGCAAGUCGAACGGAAAGGCCCUGCUUUUGUGGGGUGCUCGAGUGGCGAACGGGUGAGUAACACGUGAGUAACCUGCCCUUGACUUUGGGAUAACUUCAGGAAACUGGGGCUAAUACCGGAUAGGAGCUCCUGCUGCAUGGUGGGGGUUGGAAAGUUUCGGCGGUUGGGGAUGGACUCGCGGCUUAUCAGCUUGUUGGUGGGGUAGUGGCUUACCAAGGCUUUGACGGGUAGCCGGCCUGAGAGGGUGACCGGCCACAUUGGGACUGAGGUACGGCCCAGACUCCUACGGGAGGCAGCAGUGGGGAAUAUUGCACAAUGGGCGGAAGCCUGAUGCAGCAGCGCCGCGUGCGUGAUGACGGCCUUCGUGUUGUAAACCGCUUUCGCCUGUUACGAAGCGUGAUUGACGGUAAUGGGUAAAGAAGCACCGGCUAACUACGUG